RNAcentral lists this ribosomal RNA (891 nucleotides) under uncultured bacterium. Its description in RNAcentral is "bacterial SSU rRNA". It matches the Rfam family "Bacterial small subunit ribosomal RNA", at positions 8 to 891 of the family's 1533-position model. The record is from RNAcentral.
AGAGUUUGAUCCUGGCUCAGGAUGAACGCUAGCUACAGGCUUAACACAUGCAAGUCGAGGGGCAGCAUGACGAUAGCUUGCUAUUGUUGAUGGCGACCGGCGCACGGGUGAGUAACGCGUAUCCAACCUGCCCAUCACUUGGGGAUAACCUUGCGAAAGUAAGACUAAUACCCAAUGACGUCUCUAGAAGACAUCUGAAGGAGAUUAAAGAUUUAUCGGUGAUGGAUGGGGAUGCGUCUGAUUAGCUUGUUGGCGGGGUAACGGCCCACCAAGGCGACGAUCAGUAGGGGUUCUGAGAGGAAGGUCCCCCACAUUGGAACUGAGACACGGUCCAAACUCCUACGGGAGGCAGCAGUGAGGAAUAUUGGUCAAUGGGCGAGAGCCUGAACCAGCCAAGUAGCGUGCAGGAAGACGGCCCUAUGGGUUGUAAACUGCUUUUAUAAGGGAAUAAAGUGGGAGUCGUGACUCCUUUUGCAUGUACCUUAUGAAUAAGGACCGGCUAAUUCCGUGCCAGCAGCCGCGGUAAUACGGAAGGUCCGGGCGUUAUCCGGAUUUAUUGGGUUUAAAGGGAGCGUAGGCCGGAGAUUAAGCGUGUUGUGAAAUGUAGAUGCUCAACAUCUGCACUGCAGCGCGAACUGGUUUCCUUGAGUACGCACAAAGUGGGCGGAAUUCGUGGUGUAGCGGUGAAAUGCUUAGAUAUCACGAAGAACUCCGAUUGCGAAGGCAGCUCACUGGAGCGCAACUGACGCUGAAGCUCGAAAGUGCGGGUAUCGAACAGGAUUAGAUACCCUGGUAGUCCGCACGGUAAACGAUGGAUGCCCGCUGUUGGUCUGAAUAGGUCAGCGGCCAAGCGAAAGCAUUAAGCAUCCCACCUGGGGAGUACGCCGGCAA